This 380-nucleotide long non-coding RNA is filed under the name Homo sapiens (human). RNAcentral describes it as "HSALNT0206958". The record is from RNAcentral. Lineage: Eukaryota; Metazoa; Chordata; Mammalia; Primates; Hominidae.
UGAUACCUCACUUGAGGUUGACAGGAGUGGCCAGCAGUUAGUGCCUAUGGUCAUGUAAUACACUAAGUCAAUACCUGUGGAGUGAAAUCCGGUCUCUAUAAAAAAUACAAAAAAAAUGGCGUGAGCCACCGUGCCCAGCAUGGUAUUUAUGAUUCUAAGUGCCAUUUCAAAAAUCUGUUUGCUCUUUUUUAUUCUCUGGUCCACUAAAGAGUAAUCUUUACUGUGGGCUUUAUUUCAUAUUUUUAUUUGUCCUAAUACUAAGUGGUAGCUUCUCAUUUCUCUGUUUCUUGAUUUUGGAGAGCAAGUCUAUGCUUAUCUAUAGAAAUAAUCAGUUUGUAAACUUAUGUUCUCCUUGAAGAGUUUUUGAAUUUUCAUGUGGC